AAAUAUUUCUAGAUUUUUUUUUUUCUCUGUUUACAUCAUUGUAGAAGAUUAUUUUGAUCUGAUGAUAAGCCUCUUUGUCAUUUUGAUUAAAGAAGGAAAAGAAAAUGAUUUUAGGUUAUUCUUACCAUUCUUCGAUUCUUUCAGCUCUAGAAAGGAAAUGAACGAUUUGAUCUCGAUCUCAAUGUGGAUACUCUGAAGAUGUUUACUGUUUCACUGCAAUUACGUGUUUAUGCUAAAUUUUUUUUUGGGAGCUGGAAACUUUUCUUUGAUCCUAACAUUUUUUUUAAGCUGCGGUAGAAGCAGAACAAAUUAAGAAGCAGCAACGAUUUGUUUUAUCGAGGAAAUAUUAAUUUUAUACUUGCAAAAUUUGU
RNAcentral lists this unclassified non-coding RNA (371 nucleotides) under Hevea brasiliensis (rubber tree). Lineage: Eukaryota; Viridiplantae; Streptophyta; Magnoliopsida; Malpighiales; Euphorbiaceae. The record is from RNAcentral.